GGUUAGGGCUCAGUGGCAGAGCACUCACCUAGCAUGUGUGAGGCACUGGGUUCGAUUCUCAGCACCA
RNAcentral lists this transfer RNA (67 nucleotides) under Marmota monax (woodchuck). RNAcentral describes it as "tRNA.Ala". The stretch from base 7 to 62 matches the Rfam family "tRNA", at positions 9 to 63 of the family's 71-position model. Rfam says of the family: Transfer RNA (tRNA) molecules are approximately 80 nucleotides in length. Their secondary structure includes four short double-helical elements and three loops (D, anti-codon, and T loops). Further hydrogen bonds mediate the characteristic L-shaped molecular structure. tRNAs have two regions of fundamental functional importance: the anti-codon, which is responsible for specific mRNA codon recognition, and the 3' end, to which the tRNAs corresponding amino acid is attached (by aminoacyl-tRNA synthetases). tRNAs cope with the degeneracy of the genetic code in two manners: having more than one tRNA (with a specific anti-codon) for a particular amino acid; and 'wobble' base-pairing, i.e. permitting non-standard base-pairing at the 3rd anti-codon position. The record is from RNAcentral. Lineage: Eukaryota; Metazoa; Chordata; Mammalia; Rodentia; Sciuridae.